UGGCAUUCAUUUGGAAAGCAUUUGCUUCCUUAAGCUGGUACUGGGGCAUCGCAUUCUACUGCAAUCGUAUUGAAACAAAGAAACUAGUCGGAAAUUAAGUUCAACCGAUUCAUCAUUUUGAGAAUAACGACUAAAAAAUUUAUUGGCUAGUACUGCUGAUUUAUAUAUAUUGCAUGUGGCAUUUUAUGGUAGUCCAUCCUAUGUCUUCUGUUAUCUUGUCCGCUUUGAUCCAUCUCGUGACUCACCUAAUGCUCCAAAGAUUACAAACUCGAAGAAUCAUCCUGCAUUCAAUCAAGCAGCAUUUCCUGUUGAUAUCUAUAAAAACCAAAUUCCCAACCAUCUUAAUCUAUAGCAGCUUAUGCUUAUUUAUUGCACACAUGAAUUCUAAUUCACUGCUUAGCUCUAAGCAUUCUUAAUAUAAAUAUGUUAUCAAAACUUUUGAAAUACAUUACUCCAAGUUGCCUUCAUAUAGAGAAGGCUUGGAAGCCAAAUUAAUCCUCAGAUAAAUGAUAACGAAAAGCAAGAAUUGUGAUUUCGAAAGAAGAAAAAGAAAAGAAAAAGAAAUUCAGCAUAGCACGCUAAUGCCACUCUUAAUUUGGUACAUUCAUACUGGAAACAUAUCAUCGUUGACUAGAUUUUACAAGGAAAAUAAAUGGAUACAAACCCUAGAAUGCAUUCAACAAACUAUGCAAACAACCUCAACAAGAACUCACCUCAUCAGCGAAGAGUAACCACAAAUUAAACAAAAAUGGGAAAAUAAAAAGGACGCACACUACUCCAAACAGAUAGGAUGAAGAUUUUAGGAGCCCAAAAAAUAAUAAUUAAACAGAAGCUUUCAGAGAUACUAUAUAUAUGUGCACACGACGGAAAGAGCUAGAAUAGGCAGUUGGAUUCUUACUUAUGUGAGAGAAACAGUGAUAAAUUAAUGAGCAGGAGAGAGAAACUAAGUGGGGAUCACAUCAUAGGGGUUUCACUUGACACGAGGGUAGUGGUAGAGUAAGCGGCGGAGGAGUCGCCUGAGAUGAAGGCGGAGCAAUUGAAGAAGUGUGAAUUUUUUUCAACCGAAGCGCAUAUACCCGAAGACAGAGAAAACCCUCUUCGGACCAACCUGCUCUUCUCCGCCUUCUCUCUCAUCUUUUUCUCUCUCUACCUUUUUUAAUCUACUCCCUCCGUCCGCCAAAAGUAGACUACUUUGGUUGGGCACAGGAUUUAAUAAAAUUGGUGAUGAUUUUGAUGUAGUGGAGAAAGGGUCCCACCACUUUAUUAGAUGUGUGGUUGAGAUUGAAUUUGGGGUGAGUUUUUUUGUAAAUAAAGAGUGUUUGUAAGGAUAAAAGAUUAAAGUGGGUGGUGGGACCAUUUCCAUAAAAGGAAAGUGGUAUACUCUUUGCGGACGCC
Molecule: long non-coding RNA, 1395 nt
Filed under: Salvia miltiorrhiza (redroot sage)
Lineage: Eukaryota; Viridiplantae; Streptophyta; Magnoliopsida; Lamiales; Lamiaceae
Description: long non-coding RNA (SMIL_LNC005655)
Source: RNAcentral